GGGCCCGCACAAGCAGCGGAGCAUGUGGUUUAAUUCGAAGCAACGCGAAGAACCUUACCAGGGCUUGACAUCGCCUGAAUUAUGUAGAGAUACAUAAGUCUCUUCGGAGACAGGUAGACAGGUGGUGCAUGGUUGUCGUCAGCUCGUGUCGUGAGAUGUUGGGUUAAGUCCCGCAACGAGCGCAACCCUUAUUUUUAGUUGCCAUCAAGUAAAGUUGGGCACUCUAGAGAGACUGCCGGGGAUAACUCGGAGGAAGGUGGGGAUGACGUCAAAUCAUCAUGCCCCUUAUGUCCUGGGCUACACACGUGCUACAAUGGCCAUAACAAAGGGAAGCGAGACCGCAAGGUGGAGCAGAUCCCGGAAAGAUGGUCCCAGUUCGGAUUGUGGGCUGCAACCCGCCCACAUGAAGUUGGAGUUGCUAGUAAUCGCGAAUCAGCAUGUCGCGGUGAAUACGUUCCCGGGCCUU
This 466-nucleotide ribosomal RNA is filed under the name uncultured bacterium. RNAcentral's name for it is "bacterial SSU rRNA". It matches the Rfam family "Bacterial small subunit ribosomal RNA", at positions 917 to 1382 of the family's 1533-position model. The record is from RNAcentral.